GACGAACGCUGGCGGCGUGCUUAACACAUGCAAGUCGAACGGAAAGGCCCUGCGUUUGUGGGGUGCUCGAGUGGCGAACGGGUGAGUAACACGUGAGUAACCUGCCCUUGACUGUGGGAUAACUUCAGGAAACUGGGGCUAAUACCGGAUAGGAGCUCCUGCUGCAUGGGGGGGGUUGGAAAGUUUCGGCGUUGGGGGAUGGACUCGCGGCUUAUCAGCUUGUUGGUGGGGUAGUGGCUGACCAAGGCUUUGACGGGUAGCCGGCCUGAGAGGGUGACCGGCCACCUUGCGCCUGAGAUACGGCCCAGACUCCUACGGGCGGCAGCAGUGGGGAAUCUUGCACAAUGGGCGGACGCCUGAUGCAGCAACGCCGCGUGCGGGAUGCUGGCCUUCGGGUUGUAAACCGCUUUCGCCUGUGCCGAAGCGUUCGUGACGGUAAUGGGUAAAGAAGCACCGGCUAACUACGUG
RNAcentral lists this ribosomal RNA (468 nucleotides) under uncultured bacterium. RNAcentral's name for it is "partial 16S ribosomal RNA". It matches the Rfam family "Bacterial small subunit ribosomal RNA", at positions 28 to 507 of the family's 1533-position model. The record is from RNAcentral.